RNAcentral lists this long non-coding RNA (497 nucleotides) under Ictidomys tridecemlineatus (thirteen-lined ground squirrel). RNAcentral's name for it is "lncRNA (ENSSTOG00000034095.1)". Lineage: Eukaryota; Metazoa; Chordata; Mammalia; Rodentia; Sciuridae. The record is from RNAcentral.
AUGUAUUUGUAGGUUAUUAUCUAAAUCACCUAUGGAUCUUUUCUCCAAGUGCACCUUCCCUGUCUUCUGGAAUAAUCCUGAUAUGGGACAUUCUGGAUUUGCUUCCAGCUAUUACUGUUGACCAGAAGGGAAAAAUUGGUCAACCCUUGAAGAGGGUAUUGUUUUGUGAAGCAUCUUCCUCAGCUGAGGCCUCUGCAUGAUCUUUAGUACUCUGAAGAUCAGAUGAACUCAACUGAGAUUGGAGUUUUGAAAGCUGAGUAUUUUGUCAAACUCUCUGCUUCCUUAAUAGCCUUCAAGUAGCUAUAUAGUAUAUGCAACAGUUUUGGGCUAGUUGCCCUGGUUACACUUGUGCAUUUUGCCAGACUCUCAGAAAGAUGUGAUCCCUAAUUAACCUGAAAAUUAACAGGCUAAUGGCAAGGAUUUCACAACAACUCAGAAAGAGAGGCAGAAAAUAUCCUAGAAAAUGUAAAUCUGAGGUGACACUUGUAAACUUGCUG